CCUACGGGGGACAGCAGUGGGGGAUAUUGCACAAUGGAGGAAACUCUGAUGCAGCGACGCCGCGUGAGGGAAGACGGUCUUCGGUUUGUAAACCUCUGUCUUUUGGGAAGAAAAUGACGGUACCCAAAGAGGAAGCUCCGGCUAACUACGUGCCAGCAGCCGCGGUAAUACGUAGGGAGCGAGCGUUGUCCGGAAUUACUGGGUGUAAAGGGAGCGUAGGCGGGCGAGAAAGUUGAAUGUGAAAUCUACCGGCUUAACUGCUGGCUGCGUUGGAAAAUUCUUGUCUUGAGUGAAGUAGAGGUAGGUGGAAUUCCUAGUGUAGCGGUGAAAUGCGUAGAUAUUAGGAGGAACACCAGUGGCGAAGGCGGCCUGCUGGGCUUUAACUGACGCUGAGGCUCGAAAGCGUGGGGAGCAAACAGGAUUAGAUACCCGGGUAGUC
This 439-nucleotide ribosomal RNA is filed under the name uncultured bacterium. Its description in RNAcentral is "partial 16S ribosomal RNA". It matches the Rfam family "Bacterial small subunit ribosomal RNA", at positions 338 to 795 of the family's 1533-position model. The record is from RNAcentral.